This 90-nucleotide transfer RNA is filed under the name Hyphomicrobium sp. Its description in RNAcentral is "tRNA-Ser". It matches the Rfam family "tRNA". From Rfam's summary of the family: Transfer RNA (tRNA) molecules are approximately 80 nucleotides in length. Their secondary structure includes four short double-helical elements and three loops (D, anti-codon, and T loops). The record is from RNAcentral. RNAcentral also lists the same sequence under 3 other names. Lineage: Bacteria; Pseudomonadati; Pseudomonadota; Alphaproteobacteria; Hyphomicrobiales; Hyphomicrobiaceae.
GGAAGGGUGGCCGAGUGGUUUAAGGCAGCGGUCUUGAAAACCGCCGUGCUCGCAAGGGUACCGUGGGUUCGAAUCCCACCCCUUCCGCCA